CUUUCUUUGCUGGCGACCGGCGCACGGGUGAGUAACACGUAUCCAACCUGCCCUUUACUCGGGGAUAGCCUUUCGAAAGAAAGAUUAAUACCCGAUAGCAUAAUGAUUCCGCAUGGUUUCAUUAUUAAAGGAUUCCGGUAAAGGAUGGGGAUGCGUUCCAUUAGGUUGUUGGUGGGGUAACGGCCCACCAAGCCUUCGAUGGAUAGGGGUCUGAGAGGAAGGUCCCCCACAUUGGAACUGAGACACGGUCCAA
RNAcentral lists this ribosomal RNA (253 nucleotides) under uncultured bacterium. Its description in RNAcentral is "partial 16S ribosomal RNA". It matches the Rfam family "Bacterial small subunit ribosomal RNA", at positions 79 to 334 of the family's 1533-position model. The record is from RNAcentral.